Hydractinia symbiolongicarpus is the source of this 2872-nucleotide long non-coding RNA. RefSeq lists it as uncharacterized. The transcript is spliced from 2 exons. The record is from RefSeq and is a predicted model, not a curated record. Lineage: Eukaryota; Metazoa; Cnidaria; Hydrozoa; Anthoathecata; Hydractiniidae.
UCAUUGUCCUCCUCAUUUUCGUAUUCAUCAGGAAUUGGCAUAAUUAUUAUAGUUCUAAAUUAAACAAAAAAAAAUUACAUUCUUGAAGAAGAUUAAAGACUAAAAGAAAUUCUCAAAAAAGCCAGAGGUAAUGAGCACAAAAACAGCCAUAAAAAGAAUAUUAAACAAAAAAACUCUUUCAAAAAGUCUUUGCACACAGUUGUCAGUGUCAAUACACUUUCAUUUUGAUAAGGGAAUUUUUUUUAACAAUGAUUAUACUGUCAUAUGAUCAAAUAAAUUUAAAGUAUUUUGAAAACAAACAAUCUUUCUUUCACAGAGAAGGAAAUGAAAAAACAAAAUUAAUAUGUGUUUUUGGUUACUCGGUUUAUUUAUACCAUAUUUCAUUUACCUAUCUUCAGAAUCUUCAGAAUUUCCUAGAUUGGAUUGUUCCACUUGUCUUACAACUAGAGAUUAGCUGAAAAAUUACGACUUACUAGUACUAGACCUGGUGUAUUAUAUAUGGUUCAGCUAAGACUCGCAAAACUGCAAUAAAUGGGUUUAAGACUAUUCUAUCGACUUAAAGACCAUUCUAUCGACAAUAGGCAUGCUGGUUUAUAAGCUUGCUAAGUUUUUAGUACCAUUGCACAGGUCUCUGAUGACCUCAGCAUAAUUUUUAAACCCCAAUAUCCUCAAAAAGUCCAUUGAAAACACAUGAUUCUAUACCUAAUGUGAUGAUCCUACACCUAAUGUAUGUGAUCAUGUGGUUUAAACAACAAGUGUUUCAAGCCCUACACAUAGGGUACACAGGUAAAAAAAUUCAAAAUAAAUUUUUGUCUAUUAAAAGGUCCAGAAUUGUAAUGAUGUCUAGCAUCAUUACAAUUCUGGUUUUGAUAUGUAAAUAGAUUAAGUAGGUAAAUAGGUUAAAGUAAGCAAGGAUAAAGUAAAUGAGUUGGUUCAAGUAGGUUAGUGAAUUAAAACAGAUGAAAAUAGAUUGUAGAAUCUUAAUUUUUAAAAAAUCAGAUAGCACUUUUAUGGUAUUUUUAUAUACUAAAAAGUCGUUUACAAAACAACCAAAACCAUACAUAGGUUAAUAUUUAUCAUUGCACAUCUGUAUUUCAUUCUCAACAGAGAAUGCUUCGGCUCUGAUCAUGACGGGCGAGUUUAAUGCGUGUUAGGCAUAUUGUAGAAGAACUACUACCAAAACCAUGAUAACCAUAUAUAUUUCUGCACUACGCAAGCUCAACUAUUUUUGAUAUAAAGAAAAAAAAGAAACAUUGCUAACUUAACAAAUAACAUACACAAAAUAACAAGCACAUCACCCAAUAUUUAAUUUUAGGCAAGUAUAUAAAAAAUGAAAAAAGCUCUUAGUUUACUUAUCUAUACCACUAUAAAUUAUUAAAUGUUAUUGUUUAAUUUGAUCAGGCAAGGAUUUAGACUAUGUCAACCCUGUCACGCAACAUAGAAAAAAAUUUCCACCACUACGCGAAGAAAUAAUUUCCAAGAUAAAUCCCGGUGUUUUCCAAUUGAACCCGGAAUCCUGCAAACGAAAAUCGGCUUCUUAUUUUUCUUUGCGUUAUUGUCUUUAUCACAUUCCUUACAGCAAAGAUUUAGGCAACUGAUGUUGACGCAAUCUGUUUUAUGUCAUGCAGUCUUGAUGCAAUAAUAGCGCUCAAACCCUGUCAAGGUUGUUUGUAGGUAUUACUAUAAUAUGAUCUUCUGUGAAGGUUUGACCGUAGCACUAACGGUAUAGCGCACAAACCCUGUCAAGGUUGUUUCUAGGUUUUACUAUAAUAUGAGCCUCUGUGAAGGUUUGACCAUAGCACUAACAGUAUAGUGCACAAACUCUGUCGAGGUUGUUUCUAAGGUAUUAAUAUAAUAUGAUCUUCCAUGAAGGUCUAACCUUGGCACAAGACGGUAUAGUGCACAAACCAUGUCAAAAAUGUUUCUAGGUAUUACUAUAAUAUGUUCCUCCGUGAAGGUUAGACUGUAGCGCUAGACGUUAUAGCGCACAAACCCUGUCAAGGUUGAUUAUAGGUAUUGAUAAAGAUUAUAAGCAUUUGGUAUAAAUAUCAGUUGCACUUGGUUGUGAAGAUCUUUCCGUUCUCAGCAUGGUUUGAAGGAGCUUGCGAGAACGUGUGAAGUUUGUUUUCAAAUGAAAAAAUUCUGAUGACAUACAUGAAAUUUAUGCAUAACUGCUAGAGGAACUUUCCUGACGUGCUACAAAAACAAGUUGAUUUUUAUUUAAUCCAAAGAAAUUAACCUGCAGAGUAUAAUCUUCCUGCCAAUGCAAAAACAAACAACGAUCGGAGCACAGUAGCUUAAGCUACUGUACUGUAAGGUACAGCAACGUGAGAUAUGCUGAAGAAACUCAACUCUGCCGAUUGAUAAAAAUGUUCAAGAAUAGUUUUUAAGAGAGAGUUGUAUUCUUAAGAUUUAAAUAAAAAUAAACAAUAUGGCUUGAUAUUUUCCCUUGUGUCACGAUCUUGUUAAGUAAAACAAAUUGGCGGAUUAGCGUACAUAAAACUCGUUUCAGUAGCAAAGCUUCUGAAGCAAUGGCGUAUUACACGCCAAGACCCCCACCAUUUUUUCUGUUUUUUUUAUAUUUGACACUAUUGAUAACAAACAAACAUUAAAUUUUAACAUACUGCUGCAAAGAACAAAAGAAUUAACAGAUAUAUAUGACAUUUACUUAUUGCAAAUAAUAAAGUCACAUAAAAAAUUAAGGUUAGCAUGAAUGACCUGUAUGAGUUAAAAAAAACUAUGUGAAUCAUUUGCAUGCCUCUACACCUUGAACUUUUUGUAAGCUUUGUUACCAGGAAAGGGAGUACAAAGUCUUACUUGCUCAAUUAUGCAGUCAGGGAAAACUUUUAAAUAUGCUGUUACAGGAUAAUAA